CUAUUAGGUGUGAGGGAAUGUUAGAGGUAUGAUACUAUUAGGUGUGAGGGAAUGUUAGAGGUAUGAUACUAUUAGGUGUGAGGAUAUAGAGGAAAUGUUAGAGGUAUGAUACUAUUAGGUGUGAGGGAAUGUUAGAGGUUUGAUACUAUUAGGUGUGAGGAAAUGUUAGAGGUAUGAUACUAUUAGGUGUGAGGAUAUAGAGGGAAUGUUAGAGGUAUGAUACUAUUAGGUGUGAGGGAAUGUUAGAGGUAUGAUACUAUUAGGUAUGAGGGAAUGUUAGAGGUAUGAUACUAUUAGGUGUGAGGGAAUGUUAGAGGUAUGAUACUAUUAGGUAUGAGGAAAUGUUAGAGGUUUGAUACUAUUAGGUGUGAGGAAAUGUUAGAGGUAUGAUACUAUUAGGUGUGAGGAUAUAGAGGGAAUGUUAGAGGUAUGAUACUAUUAGGUGUGAGGGAAUGUUAGAGGUAUGAUACUAUUAGGUGUGAGGGAAUGUUAGAGGUAUGAUACUAUUAGGUGUGAGGAUAUAGAGGAAAUGUUAGAGGUAUGAUACUAUUAGGUGUGAGGAUAUAGAGGGAAUGUUAGAGGUAUGAUACUAUUAGGUGUUAGGGAAUGUUAGAGGUAUGAUACUAUUAGGUGUGAGGAUAUAGAGGGAAUGUUAGAGGUAUGAUACUAUUAGGUGUGAGGAUAUAGAGGGAAUGUUAGAGGUAUGAUACUAUUAGGUGUGAGGAUAUAGAGGGAAUGUUAGAGGUAUGAUACUAUUAGGUGUGAGGAUAUAGAGGAUAUGUUAGAGGUAUGAUACUAUUAGGUGUGAGGAUAUAGAGGGAAUGUUAGAGGUAUGAUACUAUUAGGUGUGAGGGAAUGUUAGAGGUAUGAUACUAUUAGGUGUGAGGAUAUAGAGGAAAUGUUAGAGGUAUGAUACUAUUAGGUGUGAGGAAAUGCUCACACCUUGUCUUCUUGCAUUACUUCCCAACAUUAUCUUUGUCCUUGCAAACUGAAACAAGA
Pecten maximus is the source of this 999-nucleotide long non-coding RNA. RefSeq lists it as uncharacterized. The record is from RefSeq and is a predicted model, not a curated record. NCBI's taxonomy places the organism in Eukaryota, Metazoa, Mollusca, Bivalvia, Pectinida, Pectinidae. The transcript is spliced from 3 exons.